AUUGAACGCUGGCGGCAGGCCUAACACAUGCAAGUCGAACGGUAGCACAGAGGAGCUUGCUCCUUGGGCGACGAGUGGCGGACGGGUGAGUAAUGUCUGGGAAACUGCCCGAUGGAGGGGGAUAACUACUGGAAACGGUAGCUAAUACCGCAUAACGUCUUCGGACCAAAGUGGGGGACCUUCGGGCCUCACACCAUCGGAUGUGCCCAGAUGGGAUUAGCUAGUAGGUGGGGUAAGGGCUCACCUAGGCGACGAUCCCUAGCUGGUCUGAGAGGAUGACCAGCCACACUGGAACUGAGACACGGUCCAGACUCCUACGGGAGGCAGCAGUGGGGAAUAUUGCACAAUGGGCGCAAGCCUGAUGCAGCCAUGCCGCGUGUAUGAAGAAGGCCUUCGGGUUGUAAAGUACUUUCAGCGGGGAGGAAGGCGUUAAGGUUAAUAACCUUGGCGAUUGACGUUACCCGCAGAAGAAGCACCGGCUAACUCCGCGCCAGCCGCCGCCGUAA
Molecule: ribosomal RNA, 506 nt
Filed under: uncultured bacterium
Lineage: Bacteria
Description: partial 16S ribosomal RNA
Rfam family: Bacterial small subunit ribosomal RNA
Source: RNAcentral